This is a long non-coding RNA of Xenopus laevis (African clawed frog), 1367 nucleotides long. RefSeq lists it as uncharacterized. The record is from RefSeq and is a predicted model, not a curated record. The transcript has 3 exons. NCBI's taxonomy places the organism in Eukaryota, Metazoa, Chordata, Amphibia, Anura, Pipidae.
GGUGGCAACCCUAAUUGUGGCUAAUUGUGGGGCAUGCACCCAAAUACACACUUUAGAGAAUUGACUAAUACUUGCUAUAAAUAAACACUAUAGAACAACCAAGAAUUGGUUUGGGCCAAGAAAAGAAUUUACUGAAUUUCUCCGUUGCAUGUAUUUAUUGAUGGAUCUAAACAUAUUGCAUGUUUCUUUUCCCAUAUGCAGUUCUGCCUUUUGGUCUGCAGCUUCCUGACAUUCCUAGCUGUUCUUGGUGGAUACAUUCCUGGUGUUGUUCUGUCAUAUUUGCUUUAUUUUUGCUGCGUGUAUGUGCCAGCGAGUGCACUGAGCAUACAGCCUUCAAACCAUGAAGUGGAAUGGCUGGAAGAUCCCAGGAAUAACCAUUAUAAACACAAUCUUCAGCCCAUUAACCCAGUGUGAGAAUGCUUGGUGGAGAAUCCAUACCUGCAGGAGGACUGUUGUGUUUAUCUACAUAAAGAUAAUGUUAUAUGCUAUGUGCUUCCAGUUUAGCGUUACUGAACCUUUAGAUAAAUUGAUGCUAUAUACUGGGUGUGUGAUUCAUUGAACCCCCAAAAGUCUGUAUAUAUUAUUUGUUUGUUAAAACAGUAGACAAUUGAGAUUUUGAGUAUCGUUUAUUGCCCAGGAACAAAGUGAAUAAGAAUAAACCUUGGCAGGUUGUUCUGCUUCCAACAUUUUUUUCAAUUCAGUUGUUUUCAGAUAGUUCAGAAAUCGACUUUUUUUUCAAUUGCUAUUUACUAUUUGUGGCAGCUCUGAGAGGGGAUCAGACUCUGUAAACUGUUCUAAAUUGAUACAUUAGUUGCUAUAUUCCUUAUCUUUGGCCCUGCUAAGUACAAUAUCUGAGUUUCAUGAAAGGCUAUGGAUAUAAUAGAUACAAUAGUUGCUUGUAUUCCCACAGAUGCUUCUGAGAAAUGUAUCAACUCACGUAGCAAACUGUAACACUUAACAGAUUCUGCACCUGGAUUACUGAGAUGUCAGACAGGACAUUAAAGGGAACCUGCUACUGCUGACAUUUGGAUCACAAUCAAAAUAACGCAGGGCAUCAGGGCGAGGACCAUAUCAACCAGCUGAUACACUCCUAUUCCCAAUGGAAAUUUUAAAUUUGGCAGAUAGAUAGCUGCCAAUUUUUGGGCAAGAUAUCAGUCAGGCAGGCCCAUUGAUGGGGCCCCAUUGAGGCAAUAAUAUGCCGGUCCAUAUAUGACCACCUGUAUGGCCAACUUAAGACGAAUUGUAAUUGGUCUUACAAUGGUUUUUUUAAUAUUUUUUUUUCUUAUGCAGCUCCCCAUUUUGGAAUUUAAACUACAAUAUGAUCUUGUUGCCCUUGGCCAAUAUGGUGUAGAAUAAAAAUGUAAAAA